GACGAACGCUGGCGGCGUGCUUAACACAUGCAAGUCGAACGCUGAAGCUCAGCUUGCUGGGUGGAUGAGUGGCGAACGGGUGAGUAACACGUGAGUAACCUGCCCCCUUCUUUGGGAUAACGCCCGGAAACGGGUGCUAAUACUGGAUAUUCACUGGCCUUCGCAUGGGGGUUGGUGGAAAGGUUUGUUCUGGUGGGGGAUGGGCUCGCGGCCUAUCAGCUUGUUGGUGGGGUGAUGGCCUACCAAGGCUUUGACGGGUAGCCGGCCUGAGAGGGUGACCGGUCACAUUGGGACUGAGAUACGGCCCAGACUCCUACGGGAGGCAGCAGUGGGGAAUAUUGCACAAUGGGCGAAAGCCUGAUGCAGCGACGCCGCGUGAGGGAUGGAGGCCUUCGGGUUGUAAACCUCUUUCGCUCAUGGUCAAGCCGCAACAGUGGUUGUGGUGAGGGUAGUGGGUAAAGAAGCGCCGGCUAACUACGUGCCAGCAGCCGCCGUAACAC
This 500-nucleotide ribosomal RNA is filed under the name uncultured bacterium. RNAcentral describes it as "bacterial SSU rRNA". It matches the Rfam family "Bacterial small subunit ribosomal RNA", at positions 28 to 526 of the family's 1533-position model. The record is from RNAcentral.